AUUGAACGCUGGCGGCAGGCCUAACACAUGCAAGUCGAGCGGAUGAAGGGAGCUUGCUCCUGGAUUCAGCGGCGGACGGGUGAGUAAUGCCUAGGAAUCUGCCUGGUAGUGGGGGAUAACGUCCGGAAACGGGCGCUAAUACCGCAUACGUCCUGAGGGAGAAAGUGGGGGAUCUUCGGACCUCACGCUAUCAGAUGAGCCUAGGUCGGAUUAGCUAGUUGGUGGGGUAAAGGCCUACCAAGGCGACGAUCCGUAACUGGUCUGAGAGGAUGAUCAGUCACACUGGAACUGAGACACGGUCCAGACUCCUACGGGAGGCAGCAGUGGGGAAUAUUGGCCAUAGGGCGAAAGCCUGAUCCAGCCAUGCCGCGUGUGUGAAGAAGGUCUUCGGAUGGUAAAGCACUUUAAGUUGGGAGGAAGGGCAGUAAGUUAAUACCUUGCUGUUUUGACGUUACCAACAGAAUAAGCACCGGCUAACUUCGUG
Molecule: ribosomal RNA, 484 nt
Filed under: uncultured bacterium
Lineage: Bacteria
Description: partial 16S ribosomal RNA
Rfam family: Bacterial small subunit ribosomal RNA
Source: RNAcentral